GGCGAGAUGGCCGAGCGGUCUAAGGCGCUAGACUAAGGAUCUACUUCAUUUGCUGGAGUCUGUAAUAUCUAGUCCUUCGGGGCGUGGGUUCGAAUCCCACUCUCGUCA
Molecule: non-coding RNA, 108 nt
Organism: Flagelloscypha sp. PMI_526
Lineage: Eukaryota; Fungi; Basidiomycota; Agaricomycetes; Agaricales; Niaceae
Source: the annotation of a GenBank genome assembly